UACGGGUGGGGCAAGCGUUGUUCGGAAUUAUUGGGCGUAAAGGGUUCGUAGGUGGCUUGCUAAGUCAGACGUGAAAUCCCUCAGCUUAACUGGGGAACUGCGUCUGAGACUGGUGAGCUUGAGUGCAGGAGAGGAACGCGGAAUUCCAGGUGUAGCGGUGAAAUGCGUAGAUAUCUGGAGGAACACCGGUGGCGAAGGCGGCGUUCUGGACUGCUACUGACACUGAGGAACGAAAGCCAGGGGAGCAAACGGG
Molecule: ribosomal RNA, 253 nt
Filed under: uncultured bacterium
Lineage: Bacteria
Description: partial 16S ribosomal RNA
Rfam family: Bacterial small subunit ribosomal RNA
Source: RNAcentral